AAAUUGAAGAGUUUGAUCAUGGCUCAGAUUGAACGCUGGCGGCAGGCCUAACACAUGCAAGUCGAACGGUAACAGGAAGCAGCUUGCUGCUUCGCUGACGAGUGGCGGACGGGUGAGUAAUGUCUGGGAAACUGCCUGAUGGAGGGGGAUAACUACUGGAAACGGUGGCUAAUACCGCAUGACGUCGCAAGACCAAAGAGGGGGACCUUCGGGCCUCUUGCCAUCAGAUGUGCCCAGAUGGGAUUAGCUUGUUGGUGAGGUAACGGCUCACCAAGGCGACGAUCCCUAGCUGGUCUGAGAGGAUGACCAGCCACACUGGAACUGAGACACGGUCCAGACUCCUACGGGAGGCAGCAGUGGGGAAUAUUGCACAAUGGGCGCAAGCCUGAUGCAGCCAUGCCGCGUGUAUGAAGAAGGCCUUCGGGUUGUAAAGUACUUUCAGCGGGGAGGAAGGUGUUGUGGUUAAUAACC
This 471-nucleotide ribosomal RNA is filed under the name Salmonella enterica. Its description in RNAcentral is "bacterial SSU rRNA". It matches the Rfam family "Bacterial small subunit ribosomal RNA", at positions 1 to 468 of the family's 1533-position model. RNAcentral also lists the same sequence under 1 other name. The record is from RNAcentral. Lineage: Bacteria; Pseudomonadati; Pseudomonadota; Gammaproteobacteria; Enterobacterales; Enterobacteriaceae.